Molecule: long non-coding RNA, 1432 nt
Filed under: Homo sapiens (human)
Lineage: Eukaryota; Metazoa; Chordata; Mammalia; Primates; Hominidae
Description: HSALNT0389827
Source: RNAcentral
AUUGCAAGCAUAUUUCUUUGAAUGACUCCAGUAAAAUUAAGCAUCAAGUAAACAAGUGGAAAGUGACCUACACUUUUAACUUGUCUCACUAGUGCCUAAAUGUAGUAAAGGCUGCUUCAGUUUUGUAUGUAGUUGGGUUUUUUGGAGUCCGAAGGUAUCCAUCUGCAGAAAUUGAGGCCCAAAUUGAAUUUGGAUUCAAGUGGAUUCUAAAUACUUUGCUUAUCUUGAAGAGAGAAGCUUCAUAAGGAAUAAACAAGUUGAAUAGAGAAAACACUGAUUGAUAAUAGGCAUUUUCAUGGUCUUUUUAAUGUUUUCUGUUGUUAAACAUUUCAAGAUUUAUUGAUUUUUUUUUUCACUUUCCCCAUCACACUCACAGGCACGCUCACACUUUUUAUUUGCCGUAAUGAACCGUCUAGCCCCUGUGGAGAUCUCCUAUGAGAACAUGUGUUUUCUGAUAACUCACAACCCUACCAAUGCUACUCUCAACAAGUUCACAGAGGAACUUAAGAAGUAUGGAGUGACGACUUCGGUUUGAGUUUGUGAUGCUACAUAUGAUAAAGCUCCAGUUGAAAAAGAAGGAAUCCACGUUCUAGAUUGGCCAUUUGAUGAUGGAGCUCCAUCCCCUAAUCAGAUAGUAGAUGAUUGGUUAAACCUGUUAAACACCAAAUUUCGUGAAGAGCCAGGUUGCUGUGUUGCAGUGCAUUGCGUUGUGGAAUUGGGAAGGGCACCUGUGCUGGUUGCACUUGCUUUGAUUGAAUGUGGAAUGAAGUACGUAGAUGCAGUUCAGUUUAUAAGACAAAAAAGAAGGGGAGUGUUAAAUUCCAAACAGCUGCUUUACUUAAGAUGCGAUUACGCUUCAGAGAUACCAAUGGGCAUUGCUGUGUUCAGCAGAAAGAAAUGUAAAUGAAGGCUGACUUGAUUGUGGCAUUUAGAGGGAACUCCUGGUACCUGGAAAUGUGAAUCUGGACUCUUACCUGUGUCAUCAAAGUAGUGAUGGAUUCAAUACUCCUCAACCACUCUCCUAAUGAUCAGAACAAAAGCAAACAAGAAAUCUCUCUAUAAAAUGAAUAAAAUGUUUAAGAAAAAAAAAGAGUUCGAGACCAGCCUGGACAACAUGGUGAAAUCCCAUCCCUACAAAGGUUAACUGGGCUUGGUGGCACGUGCCUGUAAUCCCAGCUACUCAGGAGACUGAGACAGGAGAAUGGCUUGAACCUGGGUGGCUGAGGUUCCCGUGAGCUGAGAUUAAAAAAAAAAAUCAUACUUCCCUAGUAUCUAAAGUUGAUAUCUGAUUCCAGGCCUCUUUCAACUUUUUUUGUUUGUUUGUUUGUUUUUUUGAUAUGGAGUCUCGCUCUGUCAUCCAGGCUGGAAUGCAAAUGGCACGAUCUUGGCUCACUGCAACUUCCACCUCCAGCGUUCAAGCGAUUCUCCUGCC